UAGGGAAUCUUCGGCAAUGGGGGGAACCAUGACCGAGCAACGCCGCGUGAGUGAAGAAGGUUUUCGGAUCGUAAAGCUCUGUUGUUAAGGAAGAACGAGUGUGAGAAUGGAAAGUUCAUGCUGUGACGGUACUUAACCAGAAAGGGACGGCUAACUACGUGCCAGCAGCCGCGGUAAUACGUAGGUCCCGAGCGUUGUCCGGAUUUAUUGGGCGUAAAGCGAGCGCAGGCGGUUAGAAAAGUCUGAAGUGAAAGGCAGUGGCUCAACCAUUGUAGGCUUUGGAAACUGUUUAACUUGAGUGCAGAAGGGGAGAGUGGAAUUCCAUGUGUAGCGGUGAAAUGCGUAGAUAUAUGGAGGAACACGGGUGGCGAAAGCGGCUCUCUGGUCUGUAACUGACGCUGAGGCUCGAAAGCGUGGGGAGCGAACAGG
This 429-nucleotide ribosomal RNA is filed under the name Verrucomicrobiota bacterium. RNAcentral's name for it is "Verrucomicrobia bacterium partial 16S ribosomal RNA". It matches the Rfam family "Bacterial small subunit ribosomal RNA", at positions 355 to 776 of the family's 1533-position model. The record is from RNAcentral. Lineage: Bacteria; Pseudomonadati; Verrucomicrobiota.